This 354-nucleotide ribosomal RNA is filed under the name Parampheres lucidus. Its description in RNAcentral is "partial large subunit ribosomal RNA". Lineage: Eukaryota; Metazoa; Arthropoda; Arachnida; Opiliones; Gonyleptidae. The record is from RNAcentral.
UCAGAUCACGUAAAAUUUUAAUAGUCGAACAGACUAACCCCAUUUAGCUUCUUCACCAAAAUAAAAUUUAAUUCAACAUCGAGGUCACAAACUUAAAUUAUUAAUAAGAACUCGUUAAUUAAAUUAUGCUGUUAUCCCUAGAGUAACUUAAUUUCUUUUACUUUUAUUCUUCAAAAAUUUUUAUCUUCAAAUGUUACCCCAACCAAAAAUUAUUCUACUCUAUAUUUAAAGCUUCUAGGGUCUUCUCGUCCCAAAAUCUUAUAAAAGCAUUUUUACUUUUAAUUUAAAUUCAAAAUAAUUAAAUAAAACUUUCUUUUUAGUUUUAACCCUUCAUUCCAGUUUUCAAUUAAAAAA